Molecule: ribosomal RNA, 405 nt
Filed under: uncultured bacterium
Lineage: Bacteria
Description: bacterial SSU rRNA
Rfam family: Bacterial small subunit ribosomal RNA
Source: RNAcentral
UGGGGAAUAUUGCACAAUGGGGGAAACCCUGAUGCAGCGAUGCCGCGUGGAGGAAGAAGGUUUUCGGAUUGUAAACUCCUGUCGUAAGGGAAGAAAAAGGACGGUACCUUACAAGAAAGCUCCGGCUAACUACGUGCCAGCAGCCGCGGUAAUACGUAGGGAGCGAGCGUUGUCCGGAAUUACUGGGUGUAAAGGGAGCGUAGGCGGGACUGCAAGUCAGAUGUGAAAACUACGGGCUUAACCUGUAGACUGCAUUUGAAACUGUAGUUCUUGAGUGAAGUAGAGGUAAGCGGAAUUCCUAGUGUAGCGGUGAAAUGCGUAGAUAUUAGGAGGAACAUCGGUGGCGAAGGCGGCUUACUGGGCUUUUACUGACGCUGAGGCUCGAAAGCGUGGGGAGCAAACAGG